GUGUCAGCCGCCGCGGUAAAACCAGCACCUCAAGUGGUCAGGAGGGUUAUUGGGCCUAAAGCAUCCGUAGCCGGCUAUGUUAGUUUUCGGUUAAAUCCAUGUGCUCAACACAUGGGCUGUCGAGAAUACUACAUAGCUAGGGAGUGGGAGAGGUAGACGGUACUCGGUAGGAAGGGGUAAAAUCCUUUGAUCUAUUGAUGACCACCAGUGGCGAAGGCGGUCUACCAGAACACGUCCGACGGUGAGGGAUGAAAGCUGGGGGAGCAAACCGGAUUAGAUACCCGGGUAGUCCCAGCUGUAAACUAUGCAAACUCAGUGAUGCAUUGGCUUGUGGCCAGUGCAGUGCCGCAGAGAAGUCGUUAAGUUUGCCGCCUGGGAAGUACGUACGCAAGUAUGAAACUUAAAGGAAUUGGCGGGGGAGCACCACAAGGGGUGAAGCCUGCGGUUCAAUUGGAGUCAACGCCAGAAAUCUUACCCGGGGAGACAGCAGAAUGAAGGUCAAGCUGAAGACUUUACCAGACAAGCUGAGAAGUGGUGCAUGGCCGUCGCCAGCUCGUGCCGUGAGGUGUCCUGUUAAGUCAGGUAACGAGCGAGAUCCCUGCCUCUAGUUGCCGCCAUUACUCUCAGGAGUAGUGGGGCGAAUUAGCGGGACUGCCGCAGUUAAUGCGGAGGAAGGAGGGGGCCACGGCAGGUCAGUAUUCCCUGAAACUCUGGGGCCACACGCGGGCUGCAAUGGUAGUUACAGUGAGUUCCGAAUCCGAAAGGAGGAGGUAAUCUUCAAACGCUACCACAGUUAUGAUUGAGGGCUGCAACUCGCCCUCAUGAAUAUGGAAUCCCUAGUAACUGCGUGUCAUUACCGCGCGGUGAAUACGUCCCUGCUCCUUGCACACACCGCCCGUC
RNAcentral lists this ribosomal RNA (900 nucleotides) under uncultured archaeon. Its description in RNAcentral is "bacterial SSU rRNA". It matches the Rfam family "Archaeal small subunit ribosomal RNA", at positions 455 to 1354 of the family's 1478-position model. The record is from RNAcentral.